GGGGAAUAUUGGACAAUGGGGGAAACCCUGAUCCAGCAAUGCCGCGUGUGUGAAGAAGGCCUUCGGGUUGUAAAGCACUUUCAAUAGGGAGGAAAAGCUGUGCGUUAAUAGCGUAUAGCCGUGACGUUACCUAUAGAAGAAGCACCGGCUAACUCCGUGCCAGCAGCCGCGGUAAUACGGAGGGUGCAAGCGUUAAUCGGAAUUACUGGGCGUAAAGCGCGCGUAGGCGGUUUGCUAAGUCAGAUGUGAAAUCCCCGGGCUCAACCUGGGAAUGGCAUUUGAGACUGGUAGGCUAGAAUGUGGUAGAGGUGAGUGGAAUUCCAGGUGUAGCGGUGAAAUGCGUAGAGAUCUGGAGGAACAUCAGUGGCGAAGGCGACUCACUGGGCCAUUAUUGACGCUGAGGUGCGAAAGCGUGGGUAGCAAAC
This 425-nucleotide ribosomal RNA is filed under the name uncultured Methylophaga sp. RNAcentral's name for it is "bacterial SSU rRNA". It matches the Rfam family "Bacterial small subunit ribosomal RNA", at positions 356 to 773 of the family's 1533-position model. Lineage: Bacteria; Pseudomonadati; Pseudomonadota; Gammaproteobacteria; Thiotrichales; Piscirickettsiaceae. The record is from RNAcentral.